UACAGAGGGGGCAAGCGUUGUUCGGAAUUACUGGGCGUAAAGGGCGCGUAGGCGGUUUCGUAAGUCCUGUGUGAAAUCCCCCGGCUCAACUGGGGAACUGCACAGGAAACUGCGAGGCUUGAGUUCGGGAGAGGGAAGUGGAAUUCCGGGUGUAGCGGUGAAAUGCGUAGAUAUCCGGAGGAACACCGGUGGCGAAGGCGGCUUCCUGGACCGACACUGACGCUGAGGAGCGAAAGCCAGGGGAGCGAACGGG
This 253-nucleotide ribosomal RNA is filed under the name uncultured bacterium. RNAcentral's name for it is "partial 16S ribosomal RNA". It matches the Rfam family "Bacterial small subunit ribosomal RNA", at positions 524 to 776 of the family's 1533-position model. The record is from RNAcentral.